UCACACCUAAAGAAAAAAAAUAUAUCAGGGGGAGCAAAUAAUAAAAAGGUAAGAUAAUUUAACAGCUCUUGUUAAUGCGGGACCUACUGUAUGCUUGCACCAUGGAGGGAACUGGAUCAUUAACUGCAGUUCCAUCCAGAAUCAAUGGAGGCAACAGGCUGCUGCUGGGGUGGUCUGUCUGGAGAUGGGGGAACAGGACAGGGUGACUUCUCGGCCAAAAUGUCUUGCUGGUGAAGAAAAUCAAAGAAUCAUGAAUACGUGUUACCGUUCAUUCCUUCAGUCCAACAAAGUGACAUCAUGCACCACACGCCUGCAAAACAAAUACUUUACAUAUGUGAGAGAUCGACAGUGACCAAGUUCUUACUUCUCUCCCCUAAAACGACUUGAGUCCCAUGCUUUUUUCUUUUCCCUUGUCUGCAUGUUCAUGAUAUUACUGCAGCCAGCUCGACUCACACACACACUCACAAAUAUGGGUUGUGUUACUUUGUUGCUAAGCAACCAGUUUGACAACAGUGCCCCUGCUGUGUUGAACUAGAGCAGGUUAUAAUUUCAGAUUGUGACUUAAAAGAGACAUCCUUGUUUGUCUGUGACCUUAAACAGUCGCCUUCAUCCAAGUGUCAACUGUGUGAAGUUAUUCAGCUUGUACCAAUCUUAAUAACAAUAAUUACAAUUAAAUUGCUUUAAGAUUUUAUAAUGCUAAUCCUCUAUUGUUAAACUCAGUUAACUUAGUUGCACUUGAAAGCCCUGGAUUCCUAAAUCAUGAAUCAGCAGUGACAUUUCAUCACACUUCCAAAUAAACAGUGGUAAUGUUGUAGUUCUCCACCAACAUAAUGGCUUCUCAAUAAUCAUCCCUAUAUGCUCUGAGCAAUGAGGUCUCACUUUUAUGAUUUUUGUUUUGGGAUUAGUCAAACUUUACUUGUUCAUAAUCAAUUGCUGUAUUCACUGUAAGUGGCUGAGCAAAUAACUAAAAUAGCAAGUCAUCACAGCUUUCAACCAGUUAAGAAAUAUAUCUUUUAUUUAUGUAUUACACAAAUAAACACAAUUACGGUCUUUGAGAUAGACCAGCAAUGCAUACAUUUAAAACAUAGUGACAGAAGCACAAAAUAGGCAGAAAUGAAAAAGUAGGCAAAAACAAAAGCAUAAACUCCUUAGUGUGUUUUUACAGCCUAGUCUUGAAAAAAUUGCAAAGACAAUGUUAAUUGUUUUUUACUAAAGGAAAUCAGCAGCAAGACAAAAUGUUAGAAAACUAAGUUAUGUUAGAGACUCGGUCCAUUAUGGUGGUAGGUAUAUUCUGACAAAAAGUCUACAUUCAGCAGAAUAGGACAACUUG
This is a long non-coding RNA of Etheostoma spectabile (orangethroat darter), 1330 nucleotides long. RefSeq lists it as uncharacterized. The transcript is spliced from 2 exons. The record is from RefSeq and is a predicted model, not a curated record. Lineage: Eukaryota; Metazoa; Chordata; Actinopteri; Perciformes; Percidae.